AACGAACGCUGGCGGCGUGCCUAAGCCAUGCAAGUCGAACGGGUUGUCGCAAGACAAUCAGUGGCGAACUGGUGAGUAAUACGUGGGUAAUCUGCCCGAGAGUGGGGAAUAGCCCUUCCAACGAGGGGGUAACACCGCAUAUUAUCGCGAAUCCGCAUGGAUUUGCGAUGAAAACAGGGGAUCGCAAGACCUUGUGCUCUCGGAUGAACCCGCGCCCCAUUAGCUAGUUGGUGAGGUAACGGCUCACCAAGGCGACGAUGGGUAGCCGGCCUGAGAGGGUGACCGGCCACACUGGGACUGAGAUACGGCCCAGACUCCUACGGGAGGCAGCAGGCGGGAAUAUUGGGCAAUGGACGAAAGUCUGACCCAGCGACGCCGCGUGAACGAAGAAGCCCUUCGGGUGUAAAGUUCUUUAUAUGUGAGCAGUGCUUUCUAUGUGAACAGCAUGGGGAGAGAGAUAUUAGCAUAUGAAUAAGCAACGGCUAACU
This 488-nucleotide ribosomal RNA is filed under the name uncultured bacterium. RNAcentral's name for it is "bacterial SSU rRNA". It matches the Rfam family "Bacterial small subunit ribosomal RNA", at positions 29 to 502 of the family's 1533-position model. The record is from RNAcentral.